This 337-nucleotide ribosomal RNA is filed under the name uncultured bacterium. RNAcentral's name for it is "bacterial SSU rRNA". It matches the Rfam family "Bacterial small subunit ribosomal RNA", at positions 32 to 352 of the family's 1533-position model. The record is from RNAcentral.
AAUCAACGCUGGCGGCGUGCCUAACACAUGCAAGUCGAACGCGAAAGUCCCGCAAGGGAUCAGUAGAGUGGCAAACGGGUGAGUAACACGUGGGUGACCUGCCUUCGAGCGGGGGGAUAACGUCCCGAAAGGGACGCUAAUACCGCAUAACAUCCUGCCUUUGAAGAGGUGGAGAUCAAAGCUGGGGAUCGCAAGACCCGGCACUUGAAGAGGGGCCCGCGCCUGAUUGGCAGUUGGUGAGGUAACGGCUCACCAAGGCAACGAUCAGUAUCCGGCCUGAGAGGGCGGACGGACACACUGGGACUGAGACACGGCCCAGACUCCUACGGGAGGCAGC